Molecule: ribosomal RNA, 922 nt
Filed under: Lophiostoma compressum
Lineage: Eukaryota; Fungi; Ascomycota; Dothideomycetes; Pleosporales; Lophiostomataceae
Description: partial large subunit ribosomal RNA
Rfam family: Eukaryotic large subunit ribosomal RNA
Source: RNAcentral
AUUGACCUCGGAUCAGGUAGGGAUACCCGCUGAACUUAAGCAUAUCAAUAAGCGGAGGAAAAGAAACCAACAGGGAUUGCCCUAGUAACGGCGAGUGAAGCGGCAACAGCUCAAAUUUGAAAUCUGGCUCCUUUGGGGUCCGAGUUGUAAUUUGUAGAGGGUGCUUUGGCGUUGGUUGUGGUCUAAGUUCCUUGGAACAGGACGUCACAGAGGGUGAGAAUCCCGUACGUGGCCGCCAGCCUCCGCCGUGUAAAGCCCCUUCGAUGAGUCGAGUUGUUUGGGAAUGCAGCUCUAAAUGGGAGGUAAAUUUCUUCUAAAGCUAAAUAUUUGCCAGAGACCGAUAGCGCACAAGUAGAGUGAUCGAAAGAUGAAAAGCACUUUGGAAAGAGAGUCAAAAAGCACGUGAAAUUGUUGAAAGGGAAGCGCUUGCAGCUAGACGUGCCUUGGGUUGAUCAGCCGGACUUUUGCCCGGUGCACUCUUCCUUUGGCAGGCCAGCAUCAGUUUGGGCGGCUGGAUAAAGGUCUGUUAAACGUGACUUCCUUCGGGGAGAGCUUAUAGGGCAGACGACAUGCAGCCAGCCUGAACUGAGGUCCGCGCAUCUGCUAGGAUGCUGGCGUAAUAGCUGUAAGCGGCCCGUCUUGAAACACGGACCAAGGAGUCUAACAUCUAUGCGAGUGUUUGGGUGUCAAGCCCGAGCGCGUAAUGAAAGUAAACGGAGGUGGGAACCUUUUAGGUGCACCAUCGACCGAUCCUGAUGUCUUCGGAUGGAUUUGAGUAAGAGCAUAGCUGUUGGGACCCGAAAGAUGGUGAACUAUGCCUGAAUAGGGUGAAGCCAGAGGAAACUCUGGUGGAGGCUCGCAGCGGUUCUGACGUGCAAAUCGAUCGUCAAAUUUGGGCAUAGGGGCGAAAGACUAAUCGAAC